GAUGAACGCUAGCGGCAGGCCUAACACAUGCAAGUCGAGGGGUAGCAGGAUUAAGCUUGCUUAAUUGCUGACGACCGGCGCACGGGUGCGUAACGCGUAUGCAACCUACCUUAUACUGGGGUAUAGCCCGGAGAAAUUCGGAUUAAUCCCCCAUAGUACUAAUGAAUCGCAUGGUUUAUUAGUUAAAGCAUUGCGGUAUAAGAUGGGCAUGCGUCCUAUUAGCUAGAUGGUGAGGUAACGGCUCACCAUGGCUACGAUAGGUAGGGGCCUGAGAGGGUGGGCCCCCACACUGGUACUGAGACACGGACCAGACUCCUACGGGAGGCAGCAGUGAGGAAUAUUGGUCAAUGGGCGCAAGCCUGAACCAGCCAUGCCGCGUGCAGGAAGAAUGCCCUAUGGGUUGUAAACUGCUUUUAUUUGGGAAUAAACCUCUUUACGUGUAGAGAGCUGAAGGUACCAAAUGAAUAAGCACCGGCUAACUCCGUGCCAGCCGCCGCUGUAA
This 502-nucleotide ribosomal RNA is filed under the name uncultured bacterium. Its description in RNAcentral is "partial 16S ribosomal RNA". It matches the Rfam family "Bacterial small subunit ribosomal RNA", at positions 28 to 523 of the family's 1533-position model. The record is from RNAcentral.